UAAACUGAUUUGUGUGUGUAGAGAGUUUGUACAUGUGUAUGGCUGAUGUACGAGCACACGCACGUGAGGGUCAGAGAUUGAUGUCAGGCAUCUUUUUGGAUCUCUAUCCAUGUUAGCUUUUGAGACAAGGCUUCUUAUUAAACCUGACACUCUUCAAUUCAGCUAGAAUGGCUGGCCGUCGAGAGACCAGGGGAUCCUCCUGCCUCUGCCUCCCCAGUGCCAGGAUUGAAUCCAAGGCCUUGUCCUUGUUAGGAAACUCUCUCUCUCUCUCUCUUUCUCUCUCUCUCUCUCUCUCUCUCUCUCUCUCUCACACACACACACACACACACACACACACUCACAGAGACACAUUUGUUUUAUCUGUAUCGACCUGCCAAGCAAACCUCCAGGGCCUGAGGGUAUUAGUGGGGACAGGCAUACCAGGAGACAUGUGUACAAAACCCAGGGCCCCCGGGCUGCAGUGGUGUCCUGGUGCUAUUUGCAGGAGUUCAUGCAGCACCCUCAGACCUACCUACUGCCCACACUGGUUCACCUCACUGAUUCUUCAGAACGCUUUUAGCCUUGACCAAUCAAACCCCCUGUCCUGUCUACUCUUCCUGGGACGGCAGCACUUCAGACUUAUCAUAUGGCCAACCAUUUGUCCCCAACGUGAAGAGCUAAGGAGCCUCUACUGCCUAGGCUGGAUGGAUGGAUGUCCUACUAAUCUGGAACUAUCUGAACUUCACCAGGUUCAGCAUGCAGUGAGGCCCCAUGUGUGUCCCUGUGCUUGUGACUGCUUGCCCUAAUGACAGGGCUGUGCCCCCCUGAGGGGUGGAAGCAGCAAGCCUACCACCCACCAGAAGAGAAAAGUUAU
Mus musculus (house mouse) is the source of this 853-nucleotide long non-coding RNA. RefSeq annotates it as predicted gene, 35087. The record is from RefSeq and is a predicted model, not a curated record. The transcript has 4 exons. NCBI's taxonomy places the organism in Eukaryota, Metazoa, Chordata, Mammalia, Rodentia, Muridae.